Molecule: long non-coding RNA, 366 nt
Filed under: Mytilus galloprovincialis (Mediterranean mussel)
Lineage: Eukaryota; Metazoa; Mollusca; Bivalvia; Mytilida; Mytilidae
Source: RNAcentral
GGUUGAUUGUAGUGUUAAAUGGCGUAUAGCGGGUUAUUUCCGCGGGGUGUAAAUUUUCGCUUAUUUUCGCGGAUAGAACAAAAUCGCCAAAAUAAUUCCGCCAAUUUAAAAGUGUACAGUCUACAUGCAAAGGUAUAGAUAAAAGUUUUGAAUUCGCCAAAAUAAUAACCGCCAAAAUAUACCUAUAAGUUAUUGAAUGAAAAUCGCUAAAUCUUACACCCGCUAAAAUAACCCGCUAUACGGUAACAUGUAAGUGAUUAUCAAUAUAUUGCGGGAUUCUGAAUUGUUUUGUAAAGGGCUUAAGCGAGGUACGAAACUACAACUAUUAUUCAUUACACUCAGCAAGGUAUUUAGGUAUGGACAGAC